Long non-coding RNA from Hipposideros armiger (great roundleaf bat), 435 nucleotides. RefSeq lists it as uncharacterized. The record is from RefSeq and is a predicted model, not a curated record. NCBI's taxonomy places the organism in Eukaryota, Metazoa, Chordata, Mammalia, Chiroptera, Hipposideridae. The transcript has 4 exons.
GUGCUCUCGUGAAGCUUCUCUGCCUCUCCCCAAUCCCUUACAGGCAGAUGGACUCCAUUUCUUCUUUAUGCCAUUGUACAAAUCUGAUACAUGACUCCAUGAUAGCAUUUCUCACACUGCACGAUCUUCAUGCAGUUUAUUUCUUCUUUUUUGCCUCGGUGCAAUGGCUAGAAUCUCCAGUAAAAUGACCAAUAAAAAUGGCCCUAAGAAUCUUGACAGACUGCUGAGUUCAUUCAUAGCAAGAGAAGAACAUUUCCACCCUUGACUUCUUGGCGUCCAGGUAACAGCCAAAAUGACAACUACUGCUGAGCACUCGUCACUGCCAAAACCAUUUCUAGGCCUCAGGGAUACAGUGUGGAGGCAAGAUGGGCAAAAUUCUUGACAGAACAUACCUUUUAGUCAUCAUUCGGAAAAGGUUACCUCACUUUCCGACUA